GAUGAAGAACGUAGCGAAAUGCGAUAAGUAGUGUGAAUUGCAGAAUUCAGUGAAUCAUCGAAUCUUUGAACGCACAUUGCGCCCCUUGGUAUUCCAUGGGGCAUGCCUGUUCGAGCGUCAUUUGUACCUUAAGCUUUGCUUGGUGUUGGGUGUUUGUCUCGCCUUUGCGUGUAGACUCGCCUUAAAAUAAUUGGCAGCCGGCGUAUUGAUUUCGGAGCGCAGUACAUCUCGCGCUUUGCACUCAUAACGACAGCGUCCAAAAGUACAUUUUACACUCUUGACCUCGGAUCAGGUAGGGAUACCCGCUGAACUUAAGCAUAUCAAUAAGCGGAGGA
This 335-nucleotide unclassified non-coding RNA is filed under the name soil metagenome. Its description in RNAcentral is "partial contains 5.8S ribosomal RNA, internal transcribed spacer 2, and large subunit ribosomal RNA". The stretch from base 1 to 120 matches the Rfam family "5.8S ribosomal RNA", at positions 35 to 154 of the family's 154-position model. The record is from RNAcentral.